AUGAGAACUUGCCCUAACGGGUAGAUCUCCCACCCUUUGUUAACCAAACAUUGUUGCUUUGUCUGGCCCGACCCUCGGGUCCGCCGGCCUUCGGGCUGGUCAGCGCCGGACAGAGGAAACUAAAACCUUUAUCACUGUCGUCAGAGUACUAUAUAAUAGUUA
This 162-nucleotide unclassified non-coding RNA is filed under the name uncultured fungus. RNAcentral describes it as "sequence contains ITS1, 5.8S rRNA gene". Lineage: Eukaryota; Fungi. The record is from RNAcentral.